CCCAGCCUGUGCCCGCCUCAGGGGCAGCCUAGCACAGUGCCAGGGACACGGGAAUAAACAGAUGCCAAAUAUGGCUGGAUCGUCACAUUAGCACAAGCCCAGCUCUGCGCAAAACACGCCCAUGAAGUGCUCUGGGGCACUGGCUCUUAAUCUUUCCAGACUUCGCUAGGCCUCUUAGGAAUCGGAUUCGUCUUGUGUACCUGAAGUUUUACCUCAUGUAAAAACUACUUGCUUACAAGCUUGCACAAAAAAUAAAAACGUGUCACAAAUACCCUAUUAGUAAAAAAAGUGCUUAAUUUCUUUUUACCAUAUAAUUUUAAAAUCAAUCAAUUGGAAUAUAUAUUUACAAUUACAUUUCAGUGUACAGUAUAGCACAGUACAAACAACUCGUGUGACAUUUUUAGUUUGUUUUGACUUUGCUAGUGCUGUGCUGUUUAUGUAACCUGUUGUAAAACUAGGCAAAUAUCUAGAUGAGUUGAUUUACUCCCAUACCCCUGGUUGAGAACCACUGUUCUGGGGGAAGGCAGCUGCAGCACUUACAGGAACACAGGAUGUCUGUCAGGUGCCAUCAUCCCAGGAAUGAAUUGCUAACGAUUUCCCAGUACUGAGCAUCUUCCUUUGCUAGUUGUAAGUUUCACAGAACUAGAAGAGAAGAAGUGCCCAUUAACACUGCCUCCCUAUUAUUUCUCUCUUAAACUGCAAAGGGCCCAUGGGGAAAUGCAAGAGCGCAGUGUAUUUAAAUAAUUUUGUUCUGGGGUUCUUAGAUCUGGUAAUGACAUCCUAUAGUUCAACAAGGUAAAUAUUUUUCUUUUUUAAUACAUUUUUUCUUUAUUCUUUGACCUCAAGAAACAAUCAGAAAAAUGCCAGAAUAGGCCCAAGCAGCUCUCAUUGCAAAUUGCACACUUGAACAAUAUAAAAUGAGAAAUCUGGAGAAUUUAGAUUUUAUUUUUAAUGAGCAAGAGAAAUAUUUAAAGAUAUGUUUAAUGUCUAGAUUUCAAUUAUAUAUCAUAAGAAACAAAGAAGUUACUCACUUUCUGCAGUAACAAUGGUUCUUUGAGAUGUGUCCCCCCACUGAAUCCUUCCACAAUAAAAAGAAAAAUCUUGGGAGACUUCCUAAAAGCCUUCGUCCUAUCCAGGUAAAAGGCCAGGACUCUCCUAACAUAUCAUGUCUCUAGUAUAGUCUCCCUUUUAUCACAGUGAGGCUUAGGGUAAAAAGUUGGAAGGUGGAUCAGUUGGUUCAUGUGAAAAGGGGAGGUCACCUUGGGGGUAAACUUCAGCUGCAGUUUGUGUGUGACCUUGCCCCAAAAGAAUACUGUGUAGAGGGGAUGCGUGCCAUCAGAGCUAUUAUUUCCCCUAUUCUCCUAGCCAAGGUGAUCGCCACCAGGAAGGCAGUUUUCAUUUUCAGGUAUGUAAACCAUGGGUUUGAAGGGAGGUCUAGUCAGGUUUUUCAACACUAGGUUUAGAUCCCAUCUAGGGGUGGGAUGUCAGGGUUGUAGGAAAAGGUUUACUAUACCUUGAGGAAUCAUUUUGUGGUUGGAUGUGAUAGCACUGAGUAUCCCUCUACAUGUCGAUAGAAGGCUCCGAUAGCCACUAGGUGGACCUUGAGUGAACUGAGAGAUAAUCCCGAUUUUUUAAGAGUCAGUACACAGUCUAGGAUCUUUGGAAGAGUAGUGAGUGGCGGAGAAAUUUGUUGGGAAUUACACCAAGCCUGAAACCAGGGCCACUUUUGCAGGUACGUACAGCGUGUUGUGGCUUUUCUAAUGUGUAGUAAUACCUCUUGUACCUCCCCUGAGCAGGAGCUUUCUAUGCGUUGGAACCAUGAGGAGUCAAGUCUUGAGGCGGAAAAUCCCGAGGUUGAGAUGCAGAGUGUGUCCUUCAUUCUGCGAGAGGAGGUAUGGAGUGGAUUGAAGACAGAUUGACAGGCAUGUCUCAAGUUGUGACAGGUAAGACUACCAAGUCUGUCUUGGCCAGGUGGAAGCAAUUAGUAUGAUGUGUGCUCCUUCUCUUUUUAUUUUGAAUAGGACUUUUAACAGUAGGGGAAACAAGGGAAAGGCAUAGAGAAGGUCCUUGUCCCAUAGAAGAAAGAGAGCGUUGCCCAGAGAGUGCUGUCCUAUCCCUGCUCUGCAGCAGUAGCAUGGCCAUUUCCUGUUCAGGACUCUCGUGUGUGUUCCCUUGACCAGUGAGAGGAAAUGGAUCCAGGCAUUCCUGACUACCCUGAGCUCAAGGAUACUGUCUCGCAUGACCUUCUGAUAACAAACUAGGAAAAUGCAACCUAGGUGGAGCUACUAUAAGCUACCUGAUUCUGGACAGUCCCAUAGCACAUGCAUCAGGGUACCUUUUUCUUUGUUACAAGACCAACAAACUUCAGAGGAUAAGGCUUUGCUCUUGUUCAACCGCUGUGGCAUCCAAUGCAUUUUGAAUAAAAUCUUUUUGUGUAUCAAGCAGAACCUGAGAUCCACAGAAGCAUUUUUAACAUUACAUAAUAUAGUCUGCCACUGGCAUUCUUUUAAGGGCUGUGAUAAAUCCCCUUCCCAGACUUUCACAAAACUUCAGACGGGGUGGGCAAACUUUUUAGCCCAAGGGCCACAUCUGGAUAUAGAAAUUGUAUGGCGGGCCAUGAAUAGUCACAAAAUUGGGGUUGGGGAGCGGGAAGGGGUGAGGGUGCUGGCCAAAAAGGUUCUGGCCAGGCCCCUGUUAGCCCAGCUCCAAUUAAGGGGUAUUAAUUGGUACUGGCUCGGUGUGGCUCUCCAAAGGGCUUAAGGAAAAACACCUCCGGGCCUUGUUAGCCAGGAGGCUAUAUAAAGCUGGCAGGAAGGAAGCAGAGUGGGGGACAGGAAAGGGGGGAGCCUGUGGCUGUAGUUCCCAGCUGGCUAAAGAAGCUAGCUGUCCUCCAGGGAGCUGGCUGGAUGGACUGUAUAUAAACGUUGGUGGGAACUGACACAAAGAAUAAAAGGACACUGGUGCUUGCAUAUUAAGUGGUCUCCAACUGAUUUUUGGA
Long non-coding RNA from Trachemys scripta elegans, 2998 nucleotides. RefSeq lists it as uncharacterized. The transcript has 3 exons. Lineage: Eukaryota; Metazoa; Chordata; Testudines; Emydidae. The record is from RefSeq and is a predicted model, not a curated record.